UACAGAGGGUGCAAGCGUUAUUCGGAAUUACUGGGCGUAAAGCGUGCGUAGACGGUCAUGUAAGUCGGGUGUGAAAGCCCCGGGCUCAACCUGGGAAUUGCAUUCGAGACUGCAUGGCUAGGAUGCGGAAGAGGGAAGCGGAAUUUCCGGUGUAGCGGUGAAAUGCGUAGAUAUCGGAAGGAACACCAGUGGCGAAAGCGGCUUCCUGGUCCAGCAUCGACGUUCAGGCACGAAAGCUAGGGGAGCAAACGGG
RNAcentral lists this ribosomal RNA (253 nucleotides) under uncultured bacterium. Its description in RNAcentral is "partial 16S ribosomal RNA". It matches the Rfam family "Bacterial small subunit ribosomal RNA", at positions 524 to 776 of the family's 1533-position model. The record is from RNAcentral.